This is a long non-coding RNA of Ictalurus punctatus (channel catfish), 4526 nucleotides long. NCBI's taxonomy places the organism in Eukaryota, Metazoa, Chordata, Actinopteri, Siluriformes, Ictaluridae. The record is from Ensembl.
CAGAGACAGAGUGGAGACAGAGUCAGAGUGGAGACAGAGUCAGAGUGGAGUCAGAGUCGGAGUGGAGUCGGAGUCAGAGUGGAAUCAGAGUCAGAGUCAGAGUGGAGACAGAGUCAGAGUGGAAUCAGAGUCAGAGUGGAGACAGAGUGGAGUCAGAGUCGGAGUGGAGUCAGAGGAAAAGUGGAGUUGGAGUCAGAGUGGAAUCAGAGUCAGAGUGGAGUUGGAGUCAGAGUGGAAUCAGAGUCAGAGUGGAGUUGGAGUCAGAACAGAGUCAGAGUGGAGACAGAGUGGAGUUGGAGUCAGAGUGGAGUCAGAGUCGGAGUGGAGUUGGAGUCAGAGUGGAAUCAGAGUCAGAGUCAGAAUGGAGUCAGAGUCAGAGUGGAGACAGGGUGGAAGUGGAGUCAGAGUCAGAGUGGAGACAGAGUGGAGUCAGAGUCGGAACGGAGUCAGAGUCAGAGUGGAGACAGAGUGGAGUCAGAGUCAGAGUGGAGUCAGAGUAUUAGUGGAGUUGGAGUCAGAGUGGAAUCAGAGUCGGAGACGGAGUCGGAGUGGAGUUCGAGUCAGAGUGGAAUCAGAGUCAGAGUCAGAGUGGAGUUGGAAUCAAGAGUGGAGUCAGAGUCAGAGUGGAGACAGAGUCAGAGUGAAGACAGAGUCAGAGUGGAGUCAGAGUCAGAGUGAAAUCAGAGUCAGAGUUGGAGUGGAGUUGGAGACAGAGUGGAGUCAGAGUCAGAGUGGAGUCAGAGUGGAGUCAGAAUCAGAGUGUAGUCAGAGUCGAGUCAGGGUGGAGUCAGAGUCAGAGCGGAGUCAGAGUCAGAGUCGGCUCAGAGUCGGAGUGGAGUCGGAGUCAGAGUGGAGUCAGAGUCGGAAUGGAGUUGGAGUCAGAGUGGAGUCAGUGUGGAAGUCGGAGUGGAGUCAGAGUCAGAGUGGAGACAGAGACAGAGUCAGAGUGGAGUCAGAGUCGGAGUGGAGUUGCAGUCAGAGUGGAAUCAGAGUCAGAGUCAGAAUGGAGUUGGAGUCAGAGUGGAAUCAGAGUCAGAGUCGGAGUGGAGUUGGAGUCAGAGUGGAGUCAGAAUCAAAGUGGAGUCAGAGUGGAGUCAGAAUCAGAGUGGAGUCAGAGUGGAGACAGAGUCGAGUGGGAGUCGGAGCGGAGUCAGAGUCGGGGCGGAGUCAGAGUCAGAGUGGAAUCAGAGUCAGAGUCGGAGUGGAGUUGGAGUCAGAGUGGAGUCAGAGUGGAAUCAGAGUUGGAAUCAGAGUCAGAGUCAGAGUGGAGUCAGACUCAGAGUGGAGUUGGAGUCAGAGUGGAAUCAGAGUCAGAGUCAGAUCAGAGUCAAAGUGGAGACAGAGUCGGAGUGGAGCCAGAGUGGAGUCAGAGUCAGAAUGAAGACAGAGACAGAGUCAGAGCGGAGUCAGAGUCGGAGUGGAGUUGGAGUGGAGUCAGAGUGGAGUCAGAGUCAGAGUGGAGUCGGAAUGGAGUUGGAGUCAGAGUGGAGUCAGAGUCGGAGUGGAGUCGGAGUCAGAGUGGUGUAAUUAGUAAUUUAUAUUUUGGGAAACAGACCCAAGUAAAUUAGUGAGAAAUAAUGGUCAUGAGAAACAAACAUAAAUAAUAACUGCUGCAACUGAUAAAAAAUCCAGUCCUGUGUGUCUCCAGCUCGAUGUGUUGAUUUUACAUUCUAUACACUAAUAAUAAACACUUUGUCCAGUUACAUAUGCAUGUGUUUUUGUGUAUGUGUAUGUGUAUGUGUGUGAGUCAGUGUUUAAAGACCAUUCUGAAUUAAACAGAAGAGACCGAGUGUGUUCUAGCGGUUUCUCUAGUGAGAAACUGUAUAUUUGUGAUAAGUGGAACAUCCAAGACAACAGCAGCGCGUCGAUAAAAACUUCACAGAGGAGACAGAGCUGAAGACAAACGUCCUCAGAGAGACAGUGUGUGUGUGUGUGUGUGUGUUGGAGAUCAAAGGUGUGGUGCAUCAUCCAGUUCAUAACGACUCAUCACACACUCGUCAGUGGCGUUAAAGUCAAUAACGAUAAUAAAUCUCAUUUUACACUUUACUCUGUGCUGUUUUCACAACCCACCAUGCUUUGCUUUCCUGAGCAGUAAAGAAGUGGCUGGAGUCAAGCGCCCCCUGGAGGUGUGUCUAUAACAUGACUGACAGCACGGACCUGUUUUUUUUUCUUUUUCUUUGACCUUUUUUUCUUCUUUCACUUGCUUUGGAUUCUACGUUUUUAACAGAUGUUUCUUUGUCAUCACCGAUAUUUAUUUAUUUGUAGUGGUAAGAACAAUUAAAAAAAAAAAAAUCCUCACUGCACCUUUCAGGUCGGACCAUUAUUCCAAACUAGAGACUUUUCUUUCAUUACUACUGAAUCUACUCGUUCUGGAAGCCAUAAUAAGAAACACGGGCCUGUAAUUCUUUUCUGUACACGCUGCACAGCUAACUCCUGAAACAAGAACACAUUGUUAUGCUAAUGACAGCGUUAGCUGCAGUGAGCUUAACACUAACACACACACAGAGUGUUUGAUCCCGUGUAACGAGCUGAAAUUUGUGUGUGUACCUGUGUAUCCAGCAUCAUCAUCAUCACCACCAUCCACAGCUCAUAUCUCCUUCUUCCUCCUCCUCCUCCUCUUGGUCAGUUCUCACGGUCUCGUAGGGUUUCAAUCCAACCCGUCCUCCAGCAGCACUCGGGAAAGCACGCACGCUCUCUGGAACGCACUCCGGAGUGUAACUAGGGGUCAUCAGAGGUCAUCCACUACAAACACAUCCAGCACAGUGAAUGUCCGAGGGGGAGAAAGUGCAAAAAUCCAGCACUGUUUAUUUCACCACCACCACCACCACCCCACCCCCCCUUUAACCCUGAGGAUGAUUAAACGAGACGAGGAUGAGGAAAACUGAGGAAGCACCGAGCUCCAGCUGCACUGGAUUCUGGAAAAGUGCUAAGUGGUUAAGGUUCUGUGCUAUUAAUCAGAAGGUUGUGUGUUCAAAACCCACCGCCAGAGAGCUCUUGCUGAGGAAGAACCCUCAUUCCUCAGGUGAUCAGUUGUGUGCUUUUUGUAAACGUCAGGAAGUCUCCACUGGUGCUGCACUGCUUAUUAAAGAAACCCUGAACGUCUCCAUUUAAUUCCAGCCAGCUCUGAGUUACCCUUUAAAGGAUGCACACGCUCCCACAGCAGCCCAUUCUCCUCAGCAGUGAUCUCAAUUACGGACCUGCUCUAAAAAAAAUUAUAAUAAUUAAAAACCCCAACAGAAACCUUUAAGGUGUCUCUUUUAAUUCCAGAAACGUUGGAUUCUCCCUUUAAAGGACUUGUACAGUUUUCUCGGUAACGCUGCGUCCGGUUUCAGACGAAAUGCAGAUCAGCGCUCAGGUGUGAUCUUGAUUAUAGACCUCACAUCCCUUUACACUUCCAAAAGUGGAAAAGUCAAAAAGUCAAUACAAAUACAUCCCUUUAACUCCAACCACGUCAGACUGGAAUGAAAAAUGAAUUUCUAAAAAAAGAAGAACGUGUAUUCUGAUAUCUGUCCUAGCUGAGAGUCAGACAUUCAGUGUCAAGAUACAAACUGUGGAUCUUCAAAUCCAAAAAUAUGUAGAUUAAUGACGUUCCUUUAAUGACGAUGUAGCUGUAAUUGGUGUCUACCUUUGACCUUUUCAUCUGAGAGGGUACAGGUGAGAUGCUCAGGAUGCAGGUCCGUGCACACUAGAUGAUGCACACUAGAUGAUGCAUACUAGGCCACUUCAUAAAGUCUGCAACAGUGCACAAUCUUCAAUCCAACAACCGAGAUUACAAUCCCGGGUUAAACCCGAGUGUGUGCGGAUUUAAUCCGAGAUAAAUCCAGGUCAGGACAGACAGGACCGAAUGAUGAGGAUGAAGAAGAUGCAGCAGCUUCAUCAUGCCUGGUUCAUCUUUCCAUUUUUUCUCUCUCCGAAUCAUCAACACACCACAUCCCAAAUAUUCAUCCCAUUUUUAAGGCACGGCGCGCGCGUUUCUCCAUCUUUUUCCUUCCUCCAGAUUGUGCUUGAAUUCCAUCUUCUCUCUCUUUUUUUUUUUUUUUUUUUUUUUUUUUUUUUUUUGCUGCUCUGACAAAAUGGACGGCCUCUCUUGCUUUUUUUUCUUAUCUCUCGAGCUCAGUCCGUUUCCACUCCCUUUUAUUUUUCUCCCGCUCCAUUAUCACAUUCUUCCCAUAUGCAAGAAGACAAGAAAACCCUGCAGGAAUGAUAAAUCAGAGAGAAAACGCGUGCAUUCCGGUGAAAGUCUCUGCUUUUUUUUUUUUUCUUAACGCGGUGAUUGAAAUAAAACGCACCCAGAUCGACGGGAUCGGACUGCACACGCUGUAUGCUGGGUAGAGUGGCUCAAAAUCAGCACGCUCGCUCGCACUUGCAUGAUGAAAUCGGAUUGGAUGUCUGAGAACAGCCUGAAAGAAAUUCGUAAUGAAUUACAAUUUACAUGCUAAUAAAGCACUCUGUAUGCUGGGUAGACUAGGUCAAAAUUUUAAGGCUCGCUUAAUUUACAGACUGAAAUCUGAUCUGAUAUCCAAAAG